This 345-nucleotide long non-coding RNA is filed under the name Capsicum annuum. RNAcentral describes it as "long non-coding RNA (CANN_LNC009233)". Lineage: Eukaryota; Viridiplantae; Streptophyta; Magnoliopsida; Solanales; Solanaceae. The record is from RNAcentral.
AUGUAUGUCACUUCUUUUUCUACACUUGUCAAACAUACAACUCCAUUUUCGUUGUACAUUCCUCAUGCUGAAGGACUCAUGACUUCGUGGAGCUGAUUUUCUUCCUGUUCCUUUUGACAUAGGAUCACAUAUUCACUACUUGACCUAAUUGAGAUAUGUCUUUCAAUUGAUGACCAAGUGAUUCUCAAAAUUUUCAAAAUAAUAGCCUUAAUUUUCAAAGAAGGUUUCAACUUGAUCACCAAAUGCCCCAGCACUCUAUCUAUUUCCUCAAAUGCUCUCUUUUUUUAACUUUAACCCUCUGAUUCAAUGUUCAUUCUUAAACUGGAUGUUAAGAUAUAGCUGUAA